This 493-nucleotide ribosomal RNA is filed under the name uncultured bacterium. Its description in RNAcentral is "partial 16S ribosomal RNA". It matches the Rfam family "Bacterial small subunit ribosomal RNA", at positions 29 to 504 of the family's 1533-position model. The record is from RNAcentral.
AUGAACGCUGGCGGCGUGCCUAAUACAUGCAAGUCGAGCGAACGGACGAGAAGCUUGCUUCUCUGAUGUUAGCGGCGGACGGGUGAGUAGCACGUGGAUAACCUACCUAUAAGACUGGGAUAACUUCGGGAAACCGGAGCUAAUACCGGAUAAUAUUUUGAACCGCAUGGUUCAAAAGUGAAAGACGGUCUUGCUGUCACUUAUAGAUGGAUCCGCGCUGCAUUAGCUAGUUGGUAAGGUAACGGCUUACCAAGGCAACGAUGCAUAGCCGACCUGAGAGGGUGAUCGGCCACACUGGAACUGAGACACGGUCCAGACUCCUACGGGAGGCAGCAGUAGGGAAUCUUCCGCAAUGGGCGAAAGCCUGACGGAGCAACGCCGCGUGAGUGAUGAAGGUCUUCGGAUCGUAAAACUCUGUUAUUAGGGAAGAACAUAUGUGUAAGUAACUGUGCACAUCUUGACGGUACCUAAUCAGAAAGCCACGGCUAACUAC